Molecule: long non-coding RNA, 402 nt
Filed under: Capsella rubella
Lineage: Eukaryota; Viridiplantae; Streptophyta; Magnoliopsida; Brassicales; Brassicaceae
Description: long non-coding RNA (CRUB_LNC005058)
Source: RNAcentral
UUUUGUUAAUAAUAGUGUGCUAAGAUUGGUUUCUCACUUUAUCUAGAAAGUAAAUUAUACUUUUAUAAUAAAAUAAAAUAAAAUAAAAUAAAAUAAAAAAAAAAAAAUUAUACUUUUACGAUUGAAAGAAUUACUUAGAUGAACCACAUUUUAGGUGUAUUGACGCAAACCAACCAAAACUUUUUUUUAUCCUUAAAUGUUUUUUAAUUACCAGCGUUCCCUUUUUACACGUUACCGGAAAAAACUAAUUACGGAAAAUGCCACUGCCACGUCAGACAAAAAGGCGCGUGCCACCAAUAACUCAGCCAUAACGUACGUUACGGCUGAGUUAUAUCACGUUAUGGCUGAGUUAUGGGACAACGGCUGAGUUUCGGGUCAACGGUUGACUUAGGAUCAUAACUC